AACCCCCAGUACACUUGAAAUCGGAGGGGCACUGCCCUUAUAGUGCAAAACAUGGUUGUAAUUCCGGCAACCCGGAGACGUUCUGGACGCGGGUUCGAUUCCCGCCACCUCCACAGUGGGCAUUCUCGAGAGUGUCCAGUGUGGGGGUGCACCGGUUUCGACAGGGCGGGCAAUGGUGAGCAGGCAACCCGAGAGGCGACGGACGUAAUCCGCGCAAAUCCACAAACGCCAACGAUGAGCGUUUCGCUGUAGCCGCUUAAGGCAACAGCCGGGGCUGCCUGAGCCCUGUUACCAAAGACGGCGGGCGGGGGCUUCGGCCCCCGCUUCA
This 328-nucleotide transfer-messenger RNA is filed under the name Aromatoleum bremense. It matches the Rfam family "Betaproteobacteria transfer-messenger RNA". Rfam says of the family: Bacterial tmRNA, also known as 10Sa RNA or SsrA, is named for its dual tRNA and mRNA-like properties. Its role is to liberate the mRNA from a stalled ribosome. Lineage: Bacteria; Pseudomonadati; Pseudomonadota; Betaproteobacteria; Rhodocyclales; Rhodocyclaceae. The record is from RNAcentral.